AAGACCUCGCGCUAUUGGAGCGGCCGAUGUCCGAUUAGCUAGUUGGUGAGGUAAUGGCCCACCAAGGCAACGAUCGGUAGCUGGUCUGAGAGGAUGAUCAGCCACACUGGGACUGAGACACGGCCCAGACUCCUACGGGAGGCAGCAGUGGGGAAUUUUGGACAAUGGGCGCAAGCCUGAUCCAGCCAUGCCGCGUGAGUGAAGAAGGCCUUCGGGUUGUAAAGCUCUUUCGGCCGGAACGAAAUCGUCCGGGCUAAUACCCCGGAUGGAUGACGGUACCGGAAGAAGAAGCACCGGCUAACUACGUGCCAGCAGCCGCGGUAAUACGUAGGGUGCGGGCGUUAAUCGGAAUUACUGGGCGUAAAGCGUGCGCAGGCGGCUUCCUAAGUCAGAUGUGAAAUCCCCGGGCUUAACCUGGGAACU
Molecule: ribosomal RNA, 423 nt
Filed under: uncultured bacterium
Lineage: Bacteria
Description: bacterial SSU rRNA
Rfam family: Bacterial small subunit ribosomal RNA
Source: RNAcentral